This is a long non-coding RNA of Scomber japonicus (chub mackerel), 382 nucleotides long. RefSeq lists it as uncharacterized. The record is from RefSeq and is a predicted model, not a curated record. The transcript is spliced from 5 exons. Lineage: Eukaryota; Metazoa; Chordata; Actinopteri; Scombriformes; Scombridae.
GAGUGGAGUCGACUUAACUUACGAAUACUACGACUACUACUACCCAGAGUCGACAGAAGUCCCGGAGCGGGAAACAACAGCAGAGUCGACAGAAGUCCCGGAGCCGGAAACAACAGCAGAGUUGACAGAAGUCCUGGAGCCGGAAACAACAACAGACAUUUCACAGAAAGAAACUACUGAGGGGAAGAAUCAAAAAGACCCUGGUGCCUUCGUGACGUCCUCUUCCUCUGCUGUUAACCACGACCUCUUCCAUGUGAUCUAUGUUCUCUUCAUUGUGUGCAUGUUGGAAAUCACAAAGCAUUUUAAAUCAUGAUUCAUGCGAUGAUUCUGUGGAAAUGUAUACUCUUACAUUGCUCUGCCAAUUUUUGUGUACUGCAGUGCC